Molecule: ribosomal RNA, 253 nt
Filed under: uncultured bacterium
Lineage: Bacteria
Description: partial 16S ribosomal RNA
Rfam family: Bacterial small subunit ribosomal RNA
Source: RNAcentral
GACAGAGGUGCCGAGCGUUAGGCGGAAUCACUGGGCUUAAAGCGUGUGUAGGCGGAUUCCUAAGUACCUUGUGAAAUCCCAUGGCUCAACCAUGGAACUGCUUGGUAUACUGGGUGUCUUGAGCCAGCUAGGGGCUACCGGAACAAAUGGUGGAGCGGUGAAAUGCGUAGAUAUCAUUUGGAACGCCAAUGGUGAAAACAGGUAGCUGGGGCUGUGCUGACGCUGAGACGCGAAAGCGUGGGGAGCGAACAGG